Molecule: long non-coding RNA, 714 nt
Filed under: Rattus norvegicus (Norway rat)
Lineage: Eukaryota; Metazoa; Chordata; Mammalia; Rodentia; Muridae
Description: long non-coding RNA NONRATT021322
Source: RNAcentral
CUAAGUGGCACAGGAAGAUGGGAGCCAGGGAAGUUGUGUGACAGGGGACAACCCAUGUCACCCACAACGGAAAAUAUGAACACCAGAAAUUUUCCUAUUCUAAACAAUGUGGGUUUAAAAUAUACUCUCUGGAGCCUCUCCUGAAUGUACAAGCACGGUGCUAUUUAUAGUGGUUGGUGUGUACUUUACCAAGAUUUUUAUUCCAACAAAGGAACUGUAUGUAAGGGAUUGACUCGCAGCACCGUUUUGGGCCUCCAGGAUGAUGAAGCCAAGAACCUCCCAGAACACUCCCAAGCACCUGAGCAAGAGUCCCCUUACUAACAUUCUGGAAUAUUCUACCAUCAUCCCUGCUCGCUUUCUCCAUCUGGCCAAAUGACAGUUACAAAUGUGGAUCUCUCAGACCUGCUGAUGAGAAUUCAUCAUCGUUCACAGGACUGAAUACUUCACUCGUGUUCCCAGCAGGAGACAACAUAUGACUCCUUUGAUCCUAUGAGUUUAGAAAGAUGAGAAUAAAGUUAUGGACUACCAUGUCAGGUUCUUAAGUAUUUCAAUUCCUAGGCUGGACGAUGAUGGUGUACGACGCCUUUAAUCCCAAGCACUCAGGAGGCAGUGGCAAGUGGAUCUCUGUGAGGCUGAGGCCAGCCUGGACUACAGAGUGAAUUCAAAGACAUCCAGAGCUACACAGAGAAACCCUGUCUCUAAACAACAACAACA